GUAAUUAUUAUGUAUAAUUCAGACGCUGAUUGAAGAUUAAAAAAGGUUAUAGGUUUUGUCCAACCGGCGAGCAAGCCCGCCGAGGAAACAAUAGGUACGCAAAAAACAAGGGUAUAAACAAGUAGCUAGGCUACUGAAUGUAAUGAUCCUUCCGCAGGUUCACCUACGGAAA
This 172-nucleotide unclassified non-coding RNA is filed under the name uncultured fungus. RNAcentral's name for it is "sequence contains ITS1". The record is from RNAcentral. Lineage: Eukaryota; Fungi.